UAUCUCUGUAGAGUCUGCAUAUCAAUAAGCGGAGGAAAAGAAACUAACUAGGAUUCCCUCAGUAACGGCGAGUGAAGCGGGAAGAGCUCAAAUUUGAAAUCUUCAAGGUUUUACCUUGACGAAUUGUAGUUUAAAGAAGUGUUUUCUGUUGAAGUUUUGGUAAAAGUUCUUUGGAAUAGGACAUCAUAGAGGGUGAGAAUCCCGUAUUUGACCGUUACUUUCCAGCUGUUGUGAUACACUUUCAAAGAGUCGGAUUGUUUGGGAAUGCAGUCCAAAAUGGGUGGUAAAUUUCAUCUAAAGCUAAAUAUUGGCGAGAGACCGAUAGCGAACAAGUACCGUGAGGGAAAGAUGAAAAGAACUUUGAAAAGAGAGUUAAACAGUACGUGAAAUUAUCAAAAGGGAAGCGUUUGACACCAGUGUUGUUUUCUCGAAAAUCAAUUAAAAAGUGAUGGGAUUUUGUAUUGUUAUGACCUUAUCAGCUUACUGUACUUUUUUCUUACUCUUUUUAAUGCACUUUUCGUUUAACAAGUCAACAUCAAUUUCUUUUGUUGUAAAAGAGUCAUUGGAAGGUGGCUUUCACUUCGGUGAAAGUGUUUAUAGCCUUUGGCUUCUGCAAUCGGAGAGAUUGAGGUCUGCAGCGUAGAUCCUUCGGGGUUAGAUACGUAGAUGCUAAGUUAUAGUUUUUCAUAGACAACUUGUUGACUAUGAUUAAUCAUGUAGCUUACUCGUUUGCGCUAUUUUACCUACGCUUAGGAUGUUGAUCUCUCACAGUCGAGC
Molecule: ribosomal RNA, 777 nt
Filed under: uncultured Neocallimastigales
Lineage: Eukaryota; Fungi; Neocallimastigomycota; Neocallimastigomycetes; Neocallimastigales
Description: partial large subunit ribosomal RNA
Rfam family: Eukaryotic large subunit ribosomal RNA
Source: RNAcentral